Molecule: ribosomal RNA, 1383 nt
Filed under: Triticum aestivum (bread wheat)
Lineage: Eukaryota; Viridiplantae; Streptophyta; Magnoliopsida; Poales; Poaceae
Description: partial small subunit ribosomal RNA
Source: RNAcentral
AUGGAGGUCUCCUUCCCGGCAUCCUCCUUCCGGCCCCCCGCCAUCGACCGCGCCAGCGCCCGCUACGCGCCCUGGGCUCUCGUCGACAGGGAUGCCUACUUCGCCGCCCACGAGAACGACACCACCGCCGAGGCUGUCACCAGCACCGGCCACGCCGUCAGGGUCACCUUCUGCCUCGCCGACCCGCCGGCCAUCUCCCACUUCUGCGUCCACGGCCCCGCGUUUGACCGCGACGACUUCACCAUGGAGCCCCAGGUCCACUCCUCGGCCAAGGGCCUCGUCCUCCUCCGUUUCGCCUUCACCGUCGGCCCCCGGAGCACCCAUCGGGGCUCCCGCCUCGCCGAGUACUACGUCUACAAGGCCGGCCGCGGCAAGCCUCCGUCGCUCACGCCGAUCCCGCCCACUCCUCCGGGGGCCACAAACUCGUUCCACACCUGCGUCCUGCCGCUCGAUGACGACGACGACGGGGAGUUCUUCCUCGCCGAGCUCAGCAUGACGAAGUCCCGCUCCGACUACGGGUUACACGUCUUCUCCUCCAAGGCCGGCGAGUGGACUGUCAGACAGUUGCGUCUGCAGACACCUCCCGGGGUCAGGAAGCGGGACCUGCCCGGCCCUAACGACCUUGACAAGGUGAUCACGCUCGGCGGAGGCGCCGUAGGCUGGGUCGACCUCUGGCGCGGCAUUGUCACCUGCAACGUGCUUGACGAGAGCCCCAUCCUAACCUUCAUCCCCAUACCCAUGCUUGAAGGCAACGUGGACCGGGAAGGUAACUCCCGGCUGUUCCGGGACAUCACCUGCUGCGACAAUGGUUUCAUCAAGUUCGUUGAGCUGGAUCUCCGUUUCAAAAAGGUCCCUGAUCAUCAUAAUUACAAGACUCGCAAGACGACCAAGGAUCUUGACAGCGUAGAAAUCAUGCAUACUUCCUGGAACUACUGGCGCAAGGGGCACGCCGUCGAUAUCGACGAGAUCUCGGCCGACAACCCUGAGCAUUUUAUGUUGCUCCCACAGCUAUGGGAUGCUCGAGCCGGGAGGUCGACGCUGAGGAACACGUAUUCGGCUUUCCCGACCCUAGGCGUUGGCGGCAGCGAUGUUGUUUACCUCAUGUCUAAGCUGGGAUAUCAUGCCAAGAACGCGUGGAUGAUCGGCGUCGACCUUGGAGAAAAGAGGGUGGAUGUGGUUGUACCAGUUUCUUCUGAGAGAGUCGGUUAUUUCAAGCCGGAGUUUCUCGUAUGUGAAUUCUCCGAAUAUCUGAAUGCGACUCCAAGCACACGUGCCGAGGAAGUCACCCGCUCACCAAAUGGGGCUCAGGAUGAUUGUCAUCUUUCAUCAGGCAAUCUGCCACCGCAGCAAUACACGUGGAGCAACAAUGGGUACUACUACAAU